RNAcentral lists this ribosomal RNA (498 nucleotides) under uncultured bacterium. Its description in RNAcentral is "partial 16S ribosomal RNA". It matches the Rfam family "Bacterial small subunit ribosomal RNA", at positions 899 to 1397 of the family's 1533-position model. The record is from RNAcentral.
ACUCAAAGGAAUUGACGGGGGCCCGCACAAGCGGUGGAUGAUGUGGAUUAAUUCGAUGCAACGCGAAAAACCUUACCUACCCUUGACAUGCCAGGAAGUCCGUGGAGACAUGGAUGUGCUCGAAAGAGAACCUGGACACAGGUGCUGCAUGGCUGUCGUCAGCUCGUGUCGUGAGAUGUUGGGUUAAGUCCCGCAACGAGCGCAACCCUUGCCAUUAGUUGCUACAUUUAGUUGGGCACUCUAAUGGGACUGCCGGUGACAAACCGGAGGAAGGUGGGGAUGACGUCAAGUCCUCAUGGCCCUUAUGGGUAGGGCUUCACACGUCAUACAAUGGCGCGUACAGAGGGUUGCCAACCCGCGAGGGGGAGCCAAUCCCAGAAAGCGCGUCGUAGUCCGGAUUGUAGUCUGCAACUCGACUACAUGAAGUCGGAAUCGCUAGUAAUCGCGGAUCAGCAUGUCGCGGUGAAUACGUUCCCGGGCCUUGUACACACCGCCCGU